Molecule: RNase P RNA, 373 nt
Filed under: Bacteroidia bacterium
Lineage: Bacteria; Pseudomonadati; Bacteroidota; Bacteroidia
Description: RNase P RNA component class A
Rfam family: Bacterial RNase P class A
About the family: Ribonuclease P (RNase P) is a ubiquitous endoribonuclease, found in archaea, bacteria and eukarya as well as chloroplasts and mitochondria. Its best characterised activity is the generation of mature 5'-ends of tRNAs by cleaving the 5'-leader elements of precursor-tRNAs. Cellular RNase Ps are ribonucleoproteins.
Source: RNAcentral
AAACAGGUUUGUUUCAUCGCUCUUUAUUUUAAGGGAGGAAAGUCCGGGCAACAUAGGGCAAUUUGCCAUCUGAAAGGAUGGGUAUAUUUUUAGGAAUGAAAGAAUAACAGAUAGUGUCACAGAAAACCAAGUAGCCAUUCAUUUCGGUGGGCGGUCAUAGUGAAAAUGUGAGGUAAGAGCUCACAUGUGCAGUUGGUAACAGCUGCAUAGGACAAACCUCUUGUGUUGUAAGGCCAUGUAUACGCUGAUCUUGUGGCGGCUCGUCACAAUAACCUCGGUUAUAUCAGAGAGGGUAGGCUGCAUAGAUAAAUGAUGGGAGUCGUUUGCUGAAAGGCUUACGAAACAGAACCCGGCUUAUAGAACCUGUUUUUAU